Molecule: transfer RNA, 75 nt
Filed under: Salmonella sp. FORC89
Lineage: Bacteria; Pseudomonadati; Pseudomonadota; Gammaproteobacteria; Enterobacterales; Enterobacteriaceae
Description: tRNA-Gln
Source: RNAcentral
UUAUCGGAGUCUUAUCCGACUGACCAGACCGAUUUUGUCAGUCGGAUAAACGCCCCUUCAUCAGCCAGCAUCGCU